Bubalus bubalis (water buffalo) is the source of this 4796-nucleotide RNA transcript. It is a transcript of the gene named syntaxin 16, with no coding region annotated. The transcript has 11 exons. Lineage: Eukaryota; Metazoa; Chordata; Mammalia; Artiodactyla; Bovidae. The record is from RefSeq and is a predicted model, not a curated record.
GCACGGAAACGGCCCAGGGGCUGAGCAGAAGUCAGAUCCCGGGAUGGAGGGAGCCGAAGAAGAGUGAGGAGGCCGUGAAGGCAGGCUCUGCUGCCCUCCUGGAGGCCGGCAGCCUGCUGAGGCAGUGGAGGACCAGGCCACCCAUAAAGGGAAGGGGUCAGGAGGUCGGGGCCCCGGCCUUAUAGGGCUCAGACCAGGCCCCAGCAGGAAGCAGCAGGCGUUCAGGGCCCAGGCCUGGCUCGGUUGUCCAAAGGGGGGCCUCAAGCAGGCCUCUCAGGCCUCUGGAGGGCAAACUGAGCCAGAGGCAAGCCUGAAAGCACGGCCCAGACGCGUGUGAGCCAAGUCAGACAUAGAAGGCUCGGGCCCUAGGGGGUGUCAGAGACUGAUGUGGUAGGGGGCUUUCGAGUCUUCCAGUCCAAAGCCGGAUUGGCCAGUUAGACGCUUGUAGAUCCAAGGUUGGAUUGGGGAGGGGUCUCUGGGAAGUUGGCUAGCAACGCAAGGAUUGGGGGGAUUUGAGUGCUUAGAGAUCGGAGGCAGGCCCUGGGUAGGGGGAGUCAGACAAUUGGAAAGCCGAGGUGUCAUCUGGGGAGGGGUCUUUGCGCUUGGAGGAAGCACAGAGCAGCACCUGCUUGGCUGCAGGCCUGCGAAGGGGACCAGACCAGGCCAAGAGAAAGAAAGUGAAUAAACCUGGACUCUUAAGUGGGCGGGGGGCCCCUGAGCUGGGGGUCACAAAGGGUGAGACAUGGCCACGAGGCGUUUAACCGACGCUUUCUUGUUGUUGCGGAAUAAUUCCAUCCAAAACCGGCAGCUGUUAGCCGAGCAAACUCUCAGCAAAAUGCAGCUGUUGCCAUUUCCCAUUCAUUCUGCUUUGGCCUCAGUUUCAGAUGCCCCAUCACGGUUGUGCCUCAGGGCAGCAUGAAAUACAGGGAAGAGCACUGGACUCCAAACCUGGGGAUUUAGGGCCAAGUCACACUCUGGCUGGCUCAGAAUGCAGGAGCUGGAUGAGCUCGCUGAUGAUCGCAUGGCUCUGGUGUCAGGCAUUAGCUUGGACCCAGAAGCCGCAAUUGGUGUGACAAAGCGGUCCCCUCCUAAAUGGGUGGAUGGAGUGGAUGAAAUACAGUAUGAUGUUGGGCGGAUUAAACAGAAGAUGAAGGAGUUAGCCAGCCUUCAUGACCAGCACUUAAACCGACCUACCCUGGAUGACAGCAGCGAGCAGGAGCAUGCCAUUGAGAUAACCACACAGGAGAUCACCCAGCUCUUCCAUAGGUGUCAGCGUGCGGUGCAGGCGCUGCCCAGCCGGGCCCGCCGGGCCUGCUCGGAGCAGGAGGAGCGGCUCCUCCGAAACGUGGUGGCCUCGCUGGCCCAGGCCCUGCAGGAGCUGUCCACCAGCUUCCGGCACGCACAGUCCAGCUACCUCCGACGCAUGAAGAAUCGAGAGGAAAGAUCCCAGCAUUUUUUUGCUACAUCAGUACCGCUGAUGGACGAUGGCGAGGAUAAUACUCUGUAUGACCGGGGCUUUACAGAUGAGCAGCUAGUGCUGGUGGAGCAGAACACGCUGCUGGUGGAGGAGCGGGAGCGGGAGAUUCGCCAGAUCGUGCAGUCCAUCUCCGACCUGAACGAGAUAUUUAGGGACCUGGGAGCCAUGAUCGUAGAACAGCGCAUUUCUGUUCAGAGCCCCAUCCUGCCAUGGAGCCUGGUGUUCUCUUCUUCCUGUUUGAACCCAGCAAUUAAAAAAUUACAAGCAAAACUCUCCUGGAGGCGAACGUGUGAUUUUACAUGGUGUGUUGGAGCUAGCCGUGUUUGCUCUGACCCAUGGAGGCGUGUGGAGAUGCUCAGACAUGAUAGGUACCGUCCUCGAUAGAAUCGACUAUAAUGUUGAGCAGUCCUGUAUCAAAACUGAAGACGGCUUGAAACAGCUCCACAAGGCAGAGCAGUAUCAGAAGAAGAACCGGAAGAUGCUCGUGAUCCUGAUAUUGCUCGUCAUCAUCAUCGUCCUCACUGUUGUCCUCGUCGGCGUGAAGUCUCGCUGAGCGGCAUCGGUCUGGUGUGUGCGGUGCGUGGACCCGGGCAUGAGGCCCGGCACCCAGGGGCUCUGGCAGAGGUGCGGCCCCGGCCUAGCCGGGGUGGUGGCGGUCCCAUGGACUCCUCGGCCCGGUCAUGCUCACACGAGGGGAAGGGGCAUCUGUUUUCCUUCAUUGUCAAGACGUGAAGGACCUUGGAUACUGCUGCGGAAUAGAGAUGAGUUCUCGCUUUGGUGGUUUUUUUUUGUUUUUUUUUUUUCCAGAAAGAAAAUAUCAGUUGAACGUUUACAGGCCUCGUCACGCUGUUGAUGUAUCAUACCUGUAUAUGCUCUUUUUUUUUUAAGCAAUCAUGUUUGAGCAGCAUGUUAAAAGAAUUUUUGGAAAAAAUUUUUUUAAACCAUCUGGUUUUCAAGAAAUUUGGUACCAGAAAUUUAUGGGUAGAGGCAAAAUUGCCUCUUCAUCUUUGUCUAUGUAUUUUCCAGUUGAAAACAAACUGAGAAGUCCUUUAAGAAUUUAUAAUCCGUUCCCCAUUAACUUAAUUUAACUUUUCCAUCACUGUUAAUGAUCAGAGUAACAAAGUGUGAAAAAUAAGAAACUAUCAUUGAUGUUAAUUAACACAUUUAGAUGGGCCAGUUAAAACAGCUUCAUAAGUUUAAAUUAAUUGUAAAUGGAGUAUUCCUCAUCUCAGAUUUGUGCACUGCAUUUUCUCCUGUAAACCGAAAGGGGUUACUAAGCAGAACCAGCCAAAUGCAAGAGUUGAUGAUUUGAAAGAACCUCACAUUAAAAGGGCGCUCGGCAGUGUCGGAAAAGUCACCAGAGCUGGCCGGUAUGUCCCCGUGCCCGUCCCCAGCCAUCCUUGCUCAAUCCAUUACUUAUAUAAUAACUACAUAAAGACCUGUUCAAGCCAGACACCAUUUAAUGGACUGUGAAUUUACAUGGAGGCCAUUCUAAAUGGGUCACCCCAUUUAGGAUUAGUGGGUCUCAAAUUAUUAACCAAACAUGACUCCAUUUCAAAGUAAAAUAUUCCCCCAGUGGUUUGAUUUAUUGGCCCUUCCAUUGCCAUUGAACAUGCCCAGAAGGUAGGCAUAUUCCUGCCGUUUGUGAAAAUCUUGGCUCAGAAAACCCCUCAUUUGUGUGAGCAUGAACCGGGUCUCCAAAGCAGGACUUUGUUGUUCACUUACCUAUUACAAUAUGGUGCUCAAACAUAUUCCUGGACCUGUGGAGUAGUGUGGAAAGUGAUGAUAACUUUGAAACCUGAAGUUGUUCGUGUUUUAACGGGUCUUGAGACACCAGUAUAGUUUUAAUGGUCUUUGUGUCAUUUUUGAUGGCUUUCCAUUGUUUUUACCUCUUGUAAAAUGUUUUAAAAGAGCAUGACCUCAUUAAGUGUGCUACGUUUUAUUUGGACCAGUCACAUAACCUGUCUCUCUAGAAUUGACUUUGAAGUUAUUUCCAGAAAUUUAAACUCAAACCCCGAGAUUCAAGUUGUCCAAACAGGUCAUGUGCUUAAAACCCAGACCACUGCCCAGCCUUCCCAUCCCAAGCGGUUCAUGAAGCCGGGCAGUCCCUGGUUCCCUGUUCCUGACGUGGGCGUGGGGUGAUCUAAAGGCAUCCCUGGCAUAUCGGGAAGUAGCAUGGCAUUCCCUGACAGCUACUUACUAAGGAGGAAGGCCGGGAAUGAGGUCCAGCCCCUCCUCAAUUGCCCCUGAGAUGGGGGGCUUUCUUGGUUCCUGAGAGCAGCUGUGGGCUCUUUAGCCUCAGUGGUUUUGAGCUCAGGGAGUCAAGCUGCUCCCAGGAUGGGGGCUGUCCAGAUGAGGGGCUCCCCUCCUAGACAGCCUGGGAUGGUGUUAAGGGUUAUUGUGGGUGGGAGCUUUUCCAGUGCUUAGGCUCACUGACUCUUGAAGGAACGUAAUCCUUUAAGAAAGGAUCACUAUUUAUUUGUAUUUAUUUUUAGUGAACAGGGUAAUUAGUUGGAUUUUUUACCCAAUUCCUUUGGGUAAAAUAAUGAAUCUGACUAGGGAUGGCUUGAAGGAUCCUGUUUGGGAUCCGGACAGCUGCCCCCCUCUGACUGGAUACCCAGCAGCACCAGCUGAAGCCCAGCCAUCCGCUGCCAUCACCGUGUCCCCAGGCCAGCAGCAGCUGGAGCACGUGUUCCAACUUGCCAGGCUCCACCAAACACUCCUGUUCUGUUGCCGCCUCUUGGGGACAGAUCAACAGCAGGCGGGCUGGAAGGGGAGGUUAGUGAUUAGUGUCCUGGCACCCAAGGGUCCUCCUCUCUCUCCUUGUCUCGCCUAUGGCUCUGGUGGCAAAGGUGGCUCUUCCUGGCUCGGCCCUCGCUGCUGCCCGCUGUGACGUGGCCUGCGCGGCUCUGUUGACUGGGGCUGGAAGGGGACCCAUCUUUCCCAAGAUGGGGACUGAGCACUGCUGUCUCUUGUUUUAUUAAUUUGGGGUGGGGGAGGUGCUGACUUGCUGGCCCUGGGUGUGAAGCUGCGUUCAUCUCGAACGAAUUUACCACAGUCUCUGCUAAUUGAGAGAGCAUUAUUUAUUUGUUUUGACACAAGUGCUUUCAGUGUUUUAUCCUAGCUAAUGGCUUCUUAAAGGUAAUAAAAACCUUCCAACCUAAUUGGUCAGAUAAGACUUUUGUGUGUGUGUGCUUAAAUAAAGCAAUUAGUGAAGCGCUUCUAUCCAAAACAACUUUUUUUUUGUCCUUUUUAGAAAACUAAUUUACUGUUACUGGAAACUUUUUGUACAAUAAAGCAAUCAUCAGAUUCAAGAACA